CGGGGUUAGUGGCGGACGGGUGAGUAACACGUGGGAACGUGCCUUUAGGUUCGGAAUAGCUCCUGGAAACGGGUGGUAAUGCCGAAUGUGCCCUUCGGGGGAAAGAUUUAUCGCCUUUAGAGCGGCCCGCGUCUGAUUAGCUUGUUGGUGGGGUAAUGGCCCACCAAGGCUACGAUCAGUAGCUGGUCUGAGAGGAUGACCAGCCACAUUGGGACUGAGAUACGGCCCAGACUCC
This 235-nucleotide ribosomal RNA is filed under the name uncultured bacterium. RNAcentral describes it as "partial 16S ribosomal RNA". It matches the Rfam family "Bacterial small subunit ribosomal RNA", at positions 87 to 339 of the family's 1533-position model. The record is from RNAcentral.